This 690-nucleotide long non-coding RNA is filed under the name Marmota monax (woodchuck). The record is from RNAcentral. Lineage: Eukaryota; Metazoa; Chordata; Mammalia; Rodentia; Sciuridae.
GUGCUCCCAACCCCCAGGCCCUAUUUCACUGCCACCCUUCUCUGCCCCCUAGGAGAUGCGAAGGCUGGUGUUUCCCCGAGACGUGCCCAUGAGCUCUGACGCACAGAGAGUGGGUCCUUCGUCCCUCAAAGACAUCAGACUCCAAGAUUUACCCCUGUCUUCCACAGAGCUGGGCUUGGGGAAGGAUGACAAGCCCCAUGAAAGGGAGAAACCAGUAAACCACACUAAAACACCUCUAUUUCCCCCGAUAGUCAAAGCAACAAAAUAUAAAGACAUGAAAUAAAAAUUACAAAACCGCGUUCUGACCCCUUGCUGCGAGACUUCGCAUCAAAGCAGUUAGUGCAUAGGAACCCAGGAAUGCUGAGAUGCUCUCACACCUGACAUGGUGCCCCCCGUGUGAAUACCUUGGGGAGGGCACAGCCAUCAGGAACUGCCUCGCGCAACUAGAACUGCAUCCUCAAUGAGAACCCUUUCUCAGAAACCUGAAAAUGAACUGGGCAUUUUGGCAGAUGCCUGAAAUCCUAGUGACGUAGGAGGCUGAGGCAGGAGGAUCUCAAGUUCAAGGACAGCCUCAGAAACUUAGUAAGACCCUCUGCAAUUUAGCAGGACCCUGUGUCAAAUUUUAAAAAAAAAUUCUGGGGAAUGUAACUCAGUGGUAAAGCACCUCCGGGUUCAAUCCCCAGUACAGAG